RNAcentral lists this transfer RNA (76 nucleotides) under Plateros sp. UPOL A00486. RNAcentral describes it as "tRNA-Gln". The record is from RNAcentral. Lineage: Eukaryota; Metazoa; Arthropoda; Insecta; Coleoptera; Lycidae.
UUAAAAUAUUUAUAAAAUAAUAAUUUAAUUUUACAAUGAAAAUGUAAGGUUUUGUUUAAACUAUAUAAAUAGAAAU